UCUUACUGUCUUAAAAACUCAGAUUCUUUCAUUGAAAUGGCAUUAAGUAAACUUAAGACAAUGCUACAUGGAUUAGAGACUACCUAUAGUGCACCCAACUUGCAGGAUGUCAUUUAGUAUGCGUGUAUUCUUAACCCAACUUGCAGCCUAAUGGCUUUUUAAAGUCAAAACUUCCAUAGUCCUUUUGCAGUAUGAUUUUUGAGGCAUAUGGAGACAGAAUCUGAGCCAAUAUAUUUUAUUCCAAAUGAGGCUCUUUGAUUUCUCACAUGCUUUUGAAAUGUGAUGUUUGUCUACCCUGGAAAACUCUGCCGUUUCAACUCUCUGGAAAGCUAGGAAAGGUUUUGAAUAAUUGUAUCAUGGGUAGUUUUUGGAUUCCACUACUUGUGGGCUACUUCUGCUGGAUAAAUGUGUUGCCUACAUACAGUAUUCUCUUAACCCUGCUUCUCAAAAUCCUAUAUUUUCUGUUGUCAAGUCAAGAAUUACAAAGCCACACUUUGGCAUGGAGAAUACUACUCUACAGUUACUCAUCCUUAAUGACCUGUAGUACAGAAAAGUGAAAACAUUGUGGAGGAGAUAAAUUACCAAAAUAGAAGAUAAGCUGAAAAGGCAAUGGAAAAUAUAUCAUACAUAUCAAAGUUGCUCAUUUAUGCUAUUUUGCCAUAACAAUGCAUACAACUGAAGCACUUCCCUUCUCCAUUGGAGUUUUGUCUCUAGAGGUAUUAAAUAUUAAUCUUAUAAAGAAAAGAAAGCAAAAAAAAAAAACCCUGAACACAUGUUAAUAGGUUAGGGUUUUAAGAGCAAAUCACAAAAGCAGAAUAAGUACUUGGAGGAAAAAAACAGGAAGAGAGAGAAAGAGGGAGAGAGAGAGAGAGGUGGGGUAAAUUGUGGACCCUCCUUUUAAAGAAACAAAAUUUUCCACAGAGUUGCAUUAAUACUUAAAUUGGACUAACUCCAUGUGAAUCCUCGUAAGAAAUACUAUUUCCUUUCAAUUAACUCAUCUAUCCUACAAUUACAUGUCAUGAAAUCUAAAGGCAAAUAUGUUUACCCAGUAAGGGAAUAACAUUCGAGGCAAAAGUGAUGUCACAAACAGAUGGGAAUUCCAAGUAAUACUGAGUCAUGGUUCUAGGGGAAUAAAACAAUUACUUUACAGCUCAGUGCAAUGUAGUAUUUAAAGAAAAGGUAUUUCAAUAGAAUAGCCCAGACAAUUAUUCAACAUUUAACAGAGAUUAUAUUAGUCUAGAUAUGUUAAUUUGGAUUUUAUUCUGUUUUUUAUUUAUGUUAAUAGGUUUGGUUACUGGUUUAAAGAAAUAUUAGAAGUUUAUCUUUUAUUUUUACAAAUAGAUUAACAUUUGUCUUAGAGGGAGUUCUGCCCUUCAUGGAUAAUACCUUUACCUGCUAAAUCUAGAUUUCUUUUUCUAUAGUAAGUUUUAAACCAGUAAUUGAUGUAAAAAGAUGCAACAAAUAAAAUUAUAGCUACUAAUGGGCAUGUAUUUAUUAUACAGUAGGCAAUUUGCAGAAAGUUUUAUGUAUAUUAUUUUUAUUAAUCUUUAUGACAUUGGAAUUCCAUCAGGUAGGCAUUUUGAUUCCCAAGUAAACUAAAGAGAAGAAAACUGAGGCUUAAAGAGGGCCUGUUUGCGUGUUCCCAACUGCUAUGUGGCCAAGAAUAACAAUCUUUAAUAUUGGUAUCCUUAUUUACAAAGAAAAUGAGUGCAGAAAGGACAAGUAGUUUUCGUGAAACCACUUGGAAGUGGAGGAGAAGGGUUUUGAACUCCCAUCAUCUCAAGCUCAUGCUUUGCCAUCUCACCACAGUGAAAUGAUGGAAAACUCAAGUCUGCAAACCUUAAAUUUUCAAUCAAAGGGAGGAAACCUUGGGCAAAUGAAGAGGUCAUGGAUAUGAUAUGAAAAUAUUUUAUGAUUUUGCAUGUGAGAAGCUACUGCAUAGAUGAAUUCAACUGCAGGAUCCCUUUUAAAAAAUAUGUAUCUUCAAGAUUGAGUGUGAGCCUUCACAAACUCCUCCUUGUAUCUUAAGUCUGCUGGAGUACUGGCCUGACUCCACUCACUCACUGUGUACUUCGUUUGAAACUAACAAACAAUACAGUGACUGUCAGUAGAUGUUGCCUCCUCAGUCUACAGAGCCAACAAAAAUUAUGGAAAAUGUCAUCAGAUUUCCAUGACAACAUCACGCUGUAUAAUCAACAUGGUUCGAACUAGUCACAUCUUUGCACAACUGGACACAUCAAAAUAAUUGUAUUAUGUCAUCAGUGAUGCCACCAGACAGAGCACCAGCUCCCUUCCUACACUGGAUAGCAGACGUUCAAAUAACGCAAUGUACUGAAGAACUAAUACAGUUUAGACACCAGAGGUCUCACAAGUUAAACCCUCUAUAUAAUACAGAGCCCUCCUGAGAAUCAACUUAAGGUGAAAUGUUUUAAAGAAGAGAUAAUGGUGGUGGUGUGGUGGUACAUGUUGAGCAACCAGCUCUCUGGAGCAACUGAAAAAUACUUCUAAUCUGGCAAAUUCAGCGAGAAGACUGAGUUCCUUAAUUUCUGUCAGCACCAGUGAAAAACUGUCCUAAACUGACCCUGGCUUACAGAUGUACCACUGGAUCUUGGACUAAAUGGUAAUGGUAAUCAUUCUGAGCUUCCAUUAAAAUUCUAAGCCUUCUUCCAUUUUAUUUCUUAUUAACAGCUAUUAUUGUUGUUGUUGUUGUUGUUGUUGUUGUUGUUGUUGUUAUUAUAGCAAAGAAGAACAGCAGAAUGGUUGGUGGAGAUUCCUAUGCUUUCGACCCAUGGCGGGGUCACUAAGUCAGGUGAAUCACCUCCCACCCCUAAAGAUUCCCACCCAGUUAUGCCUUCUAAUGUGCUGUUCACAGUUUAUCAACUGAUUCUGAAAUUCUGAGACUUAACAGUUUUAAACUGA
RNAcentral lists this long non-coding RNA (2919 nucleotides) under Homo sapiens (human). RNAcentral's name for it is "HSALNT0307611". Lineage: Eukaryota; Metazoa; Chordata; Mammalia; Primates; Hominidae. The record is from RNAcentral.